This 491-nucleotide ribosomal RNA is filed under the name uncultured bacterium. RNAcentral describes it as "partial 16S ribosomal RNA". It matches the Rfam family "Bacterial small subunit ribosomal RNA", at positions 28 to 507 of the family's 1533-position model. The record is from RNAcentral.
GAUGAACGCUGGCUACAGGCUUAACACAUGCAAGUCGAGGGGAAACGACGGGGAAGCUUGCUUCCCCGGGCGUCGACCGGCGCACGGGUGAGUAACGCAUAUCCAACCUGCCUCUGACUGAGGGAUAACCCGUCGAAAGUCGGCCUAAUACCUCAUGGCAUCGUCUGCGGGCAUCCAACGACGAUUAAAGAUUUCAUCGGUCAGGGAUGGGGAUGCGUCUGAUUAGCUAGUUGGCGGGGUAACGGCCCACCAAGGCGACGAUCAGUAGGGGUUCUGAGAGGAAGGUCCCCCACAUUGGAACUGAGACACGGUCCAAACGCCUACGGGAGGCAGCAGUGAGGAAUAUUGGUCAAUGGGCGAGAGCCUGAACCAGCCAAGUAGCGUGCAGGAUGACGGCCCUAUGGGUUGUAAACUGCUUUUAUGCGGGGAUAAAGUGAGGGACGUGUCCUUCAUUGCAGGUACCGCAUGAAUAAGGACCGGCUAAUUCCGUG